UACGAAGGGGGCUAGCGUUGCUCGGAAUCACUGGGCGUAAAGGGUGCGUAGGCGGGUCUUUAAGUCAGGGGUGAAAUCCUGGAGCUCAACUCCAGAACUGCCUUUGAUACUGAAGAUCUUGAGUUCGGGAGAGGUGAGUGGAACUGCGAGUGUAGAGGUGAAAUGCGUAGAGAUCCGGAGGAACACCGAAGGCGAAGGCAGUGUCCUGGCGCGUAACUGACGCUGAGGUGCGAAAGCCAGGGGAGCGAACGGG
This 253-nucleotide ribosomal RNA is filed under the name uncultured bacterium. Its description in RNAcentral is "partial 16S ribosomal RNA". It matches the Rfam family "Bacterial small subunit ribosomal RNA", at positions 524 to 776 of the family's 1533-position model. The record is from RNAcentral.